Molecule: long non-coding RNA, 1408 nt
Filed under: Heterocephalus glaber (naked mole-rat)
Lineage: Eukaryota; Metazoa; Chordata; Mammalia; Rodentia; Bathyergidae
Description: lncRNA (ENSHGLG00000048055.1)
Source: RNAcentral
GCCGGCAACCAGAGGCGGGGCCGAGGCAACAGCCGGGGCGCUGUCCGCAGUGGGGAUGGCGACGCGGACCACGGCUGCCCCUCUGCCCACCUCAGUGGGCCUGUGCAUCUGGGCUGCCUCGCCUGCAGGUUUCCGCUCAGUUCAGGGGAGGCGGGUGCGGGAGGGAGCAGAGCCCGUCAGACCCCACAGGGACACGUUACAGGCACGUUGCCACUGAUGCCCUCAAAAUACGCCUUCCUUCAAGCACACUCAUCCCAUCACCUUGCCCCUGUCUGGAGCAGCUCUGGAGCCCUCCUUUGCAAGUCUCUGCGGCUGCCUCCUGUUUUGAAUCAAUGGAAAACACAGCAGUUUCUGUCGAGUAUAAAUGUUGCAGUGAGUCCUCGUCACCUUGUUCACCGGAUCUGGCACCACGUGACUCUCAGUCCUCCCCAGAGCCAAAAUGAUCACGAAAGGGAAACGUUUUAAAUCGACUCAGGCCAUCCAGGCAGCCAGGACAGCACAACUACGGGCAAUUACAGACGAGGCCUCCAGAGCUGCUGCAGACAGUGCCAAGUGAGACGCCUGCUGCUACCACACACGCCUGCACCAUCAACAUACAAAGAGAAACGGCUUACUGCACCUCAGUCUCAAAGGCUGUGUUCAGGACUGGGUGGCCCUGCAGCCAUGGGGCCCGGGACAAGGCACCAGGACAUCAAAACUGCUCACCUCACAGUGGCCAGGAAGCAACGGAGAGGAGACGGCCAGCGUCUCACGGUCCCUUUCAGGAGCGCCCCUUGAUCAACACAAGCUCUCCAGGCACCACCUCAAAGGUUUUAGCACUUGCAGCAGUGCCACACUGAGUCCAUCCUCUAAUCUCGGGUCUCAGGGGACAUUCCAGAUCCAAACUGUCCAUCUGCCACCUGCUCCUGCAGGGACCCUUGCCAGCCAGGCCUGGCCUCACCGAGAGCUCUGCUCCUGGCCCCUGAGGGCUCCAUGGCCUCAGCAGGGACCAGGCUGCUCCUGCCCCCGAGGCUCAGCUGCCUGUCCUCGCUUGCAAGCUCAGGACAGUGUGCUGAAGGCCCCGGUGUCACUCCUGAGCUGGGCCCCCACUCACUGGGCAUCUACUGAAGAAAACUCAGCCCCUCCCACAUCAACCUCCUGAGGAAGGCGACUUCCACGCAGAUGCCGCCAACGGCAGUGCUUGCCUGCGGUGUCUCUGUGUGGAGGCCUUGGCUACCUCUUCCAACAGCUCUGAGGGCAGGCGGCACGGAUUCCAUGCUUGCUGAGGGUGACAUGCUAGGACUGGAAUGCGCCCACCUGCCUCCUGACCCUGACCUCUGCUGCUCUACUCUGUCCAGAUGAUUCAGAGGAGCGAAAUGUCCGGCACCUCCAGGGAAAUUUGCCUUUUUUUUCUUUUUAUAAAAUUCAG